Pelobates cultripes (western spadefoot toad) is the source of this 1087-nucleotide non-coding RNA. The record is from the annotation of a GenBank genome assembly. NCBI's taxonomy places the organism in Eukaryota, Metazoa, Chordata, Amphibia, Anura, Pelobatidae.
AUGUGAUUUAGCACAAGCAAAGAAAUACAAUUUUUCCACAUUAUUCAUAACUUGAAAAGUCACAUAAAACUUACAUUUUCAGAAUCAGCAUACUCCAAAUACAAAAUCGUCAAAAUCAUACAAAUUGGUCCAGUGGUUCAAAAGAUAGAUCGUAGUCCUUUGUGACCACAGGAAGCAUGGCUUUUCUGCCCAAAACCAGUUCCACAGAGUCUUCUGUCCUGGAGAUAAUUAGAAGUAAUCCAAUUAUCUCCAAAGACAGAGGCAAAACUCCAUUGAACACAUGGCAGCAAAAAGACAGUAAAAUACAAUAAAAUACACAAGGUUACAUUUAUGACAUAAAAUACAGACAUGCCCAACAUAUGCCCAGAUAGCUUAGGUCUGAGCGCACAUUAUUACUGAAUGGCGCUCAGAGCACACACAUACAGUUCAAUUGCCAUGGAUCCAAAGUCUUUCCCAUAGUCUUUCAUUAUACGAAUGGGCUCCAUGGCAUAGCUAUCUGGGGUAUCACUGCUCAAACAGGGCAAGCACCAAAUGACCCGGCUUUCUUGUCUUUGCAGGGGAAAAUCAAGCCUUUUAACAUGGGGCCAUAAUCCAAAGGCAACAGGCGAGCAACCAGGCUUCUCCAAUGCAAUGUGGCGAGAUUGCUCUCGUCACAAGAACUUUAAGGGUUACUGCCAAAGAACACCCCAAUAUGUGUUCAGCAACAUCUCCUGAGUACAGUGAUAUCACCCAUGUAUAGGUGUGUCAGGUUCUCUGGUGGCUCAAAGACCUUAUUCAGAGGGUGCGCGUUCUCUCACAUUGAACUUUAGGCAUGGAUUCUCAGUUCCUGUUAUGUGUUACUGACAAAGAACACCCCAAUAUGUGUUCAGCAACAUCUCCUGAGUACAACAGUACAGGUUCUAUGGGUUGUUGCAAACCUACUAGUAGGGCUUUCCCCUUUGCCAUGUUUGCACAUCUGAAAUUUGCCAGAUUGGUUUGCUGGGCCUAUGUUGCCUUUGAGACCGUAUGGCAGCCCAGGAAUGAAAAUGAACCCCAUCAUGGCAAACCAAUUGUAAAUGUAGACAACCCACGGUAUUCAAAAUUGGGU